RNAcentral lists this ribosomal RNA (379 nucleotides) under uncultured eukaryote. RNAcentral's name for it is "partial 18S ribosomal RNA". It matches the Rfam family "Eukaryotic small subunit ribosomal RNA", at positions 592 to 976 of the family's 1831-position model. The record is from RNAcentral.
CAAUAGCGUAUAUUAAAGUUGUUGCGGUUAAAAAGCUCGUAGUUGGAUUUCUGCUGAGAACGACCGGUCCGCCCUUUGGGUGUGUAUCUGGCUCUUUCUUGGCAUCUUCUUGGUGAACGUUGCUGCACUUGACUGUGUGGAGCGCUACCCAGGACUUUUACUUUGAGGAAAUUAGAGUGUUUCAAGCAGGCAAUCGCUUGAAUACAUUAGCAUGGAAUAAUAAGAUAGGACUUUGGUACUAUUUUGUUGGUUUGCAUACCAAAUUAAUGAUCAACAGGAACAGUUUGAGGAUAUUCGUAUGAACAUGUCAGAGGUGAAAUUCUUGGAUUUUGAUCAGACGAACUACUGCGAAAGCAUUUAUCAAGGAUGUUUUCAUUAA